CAAGGAUUCCCCUAGUAACGGCGAGUGAACCGGGAAGAGCUCAAAUUUGAAAUCGGGCGUGCUCAGUGCGUCCGAGUUGUAAUCUAUAGAGGCGUUUUCCGUGCCGGACUGUGUCCAAGUCCCUUGGAACAGGGUAUCAAAGAGGGUGAUAAUCCCGUACUUGACACAAUGACCGGUGCUCUGUGAUACGUUUUCUACGAGUCGAGUUGUUUGGGAAUGCAGCUCAAAAUGGGUGGUGAGUUCCAUCUAAAGCUAAAUAUUGGCGAGAGACCGAUAGCGAACAAGUACCGUGAGGGAAAGAUGAAAAGCACUUUGGAAAGAGAGUUAAACAGUACGUGAAAUUGUUAAAAGGGAAACGAUUGAAGUCAGUCGUGACUGAGAGGCUCAGCCGGUUCUGCCGGUGUAUUCCCCUCAGUCGGGUCAACAUCAGUUUUGUUCGGUGGAUAAGGGCAGCUGGAAGGUAGCACCCUCGGGUGUGUUAUAGCCAGUUGUCGCAUACAUCGGAUGAGACUGAGGAAUGCAGCUCGCCUUUAUGGCCGGGGUUCGCCCAC
Molecule: ribosomal RNA, 551 nt
Filed under: Papiliotrema flavescens
Lineage: Eukaryota; Fungi; Basidiomycota; Tremellomycetes; Tremellales; Rhynchogastremaceae
Description: eukaryotic LSU rRNA
Rfam family: Eukaryotic large subunit ribosomal RNA
Source: RNAcentral